ACUUUUUGACAUAAGAACACAAUGCAAGUUUACAGAAUACCAUGCAUUAUCCAAUAUUAUACCAGUUGUUCCAAACAUUUAAGCUUGUGACCUUUUUGACAAAAGGGUGAGGAAGACAACAAGGAAGAAGAUGCAAAUGCAGACUACCAGACGGACAGGAACAGUUUAUGGACUUAUUGCAAAAGGCCUGACUAGGGGAAGUAGAGACAGAUCAGGUGACUGGGACUGGACGGAUGGGGAAGUGAGAUGCUGGUGACGACCACUUCCAUCCACUGGACAAGAAAAAAAAG
This is a long non-coding RNA of Gasterosteus aculeatus aculeatus (three-spined stickleback), 290 nucleotides long. Lineage: Eukaryota; Metazoa; Chordata; Actinopteri; Perciformes; Gasterosteidae. The record is from Ensembl.